This is a non-coding RNA of Lonchura striata (white-rumped munia), 474 nucleotides long. Lineage: Eukaryota; Metazoa; Chordata; Aves; Passeriformes; Estrildidae. The record is from RefSeq and is a predicted model, not a curated record.
CACCUGGAGCAGCCCCAAGAGGUGGCCGAGGACAUUCCCAGAUUCACAGGGCAGGUGUCACCCAACUCCGGUGGCCAGAGGACAGCACUGAACUCGUGUGGGGUGACACCGGAGCCGCUGAUGGAUGCUGGGAAGCUCUGGGAGACCAACCCCUGCAGCCCAAGGGCCAACGUGUUCCUGUGCCAGGGUCUCACCAGGACUGGGCAGCGGUGCCGGAAGAAAGCGAUUCCCGGGCAGGAAUUCUGUCACAUCCACACCACCAGCAGCAGCUCGGCCAUGGAUUCAUCCCGCCAUUUUUGACCCUCUACCCGCCUCUCCCUGAGGGGUUUUAACUCUUUUUAUGGUUAUUCCAGAUCCUGGUGGAGAACACAGACCCUAAGGAUGCCACUGGAUGUGGGUCCAGGGCAGACGUUCAUUACCCCACCAGUUUUAUGCUAUUUGCAUAUAUUUUAAUAAAUGCCACAUUUACAGCUG